UACGUAGGGUGCAGCGUUGUCCGGAAUUAUUGGGCGUAAAGGGCUCGUAGGCGGUUUGUCGCGUCGGGAGUGAAAUCCACUGGCUUAACUGGUGGCUUGCUUUCGAUACGGGCAGACUGGAGGUAUGCAGGGGAGAACGGAAUUCCUGGUGUAGCGGUGAAAUGCGCAGAUAUCAGGGGGAACACCGGGUGGCGAAGGCGGUUCUCUGGGCAUGUCCUGACGCUGAGGAGCGAAAGUGUGGGGAGCGAACAGG
RNAcentral lists this ribosomal RNA (253 nucleotides) under uncultured bacterium. Its description in RNAcentral is "partial 16S ribosomal RNA". It matches the Rfam family "Bacterial small subunit ribosomal RNA", at positions 524 to 776 of the family's 1533-position model. The record is from RNAcentral.